This 406-nucleotide ribosomal RNA is filed under the name uncultured bacterium. RNAcentral describes it as "partial 16S ribosomal RNA". It matches the Rfam family "Bacterial small subunit ribosomal RNA", at positions 29 to 526 of the family's 1533-position model. The record is from RNAcentral.
AUUGAACGCUGGCGGCAGGCCUAACACAUGCAAGUCGAACGCGUGGCGGACGGGGGAGUAAUGUCUGGGAAACUGCCUGAUGGAGGGGGAUAACUACUGGAAACGGGAGCUAAUACCGCAUACCAUCAGAUGUGCCGAGAUGGGCUUAGCUAGUUGGUGGGGUAACGGCCCACCAAGGCGACGAUCCCUAGCUGGUCUGAGAGGAUGGCAAGCCCCACUGGAACUGAGACAAGGUCCAGACUCCUACGGGAGGCAGCAGGGGGGAAUAGUGCACAAGGGGCGCAAGCCUGAUGCAGCCAUGCCGCGUGUAGGAAGAAGGCCUUCGGGUUGUAGAGUUCUUUCAGCGGGGAGGCGUUACCCGCAGAAGAAGCACCGGCUAACUCCGUGCCAGCAGCCGCGGUAAUUC